This 433-nucleotide ribosomal RNA is filed under the name uncultured bacterium. RNAcentral's name for it is "partial 16S ribosomal RNA". It matches the Rfam family "Bacterial small subunit ribosomal RNA", at positions 29 to 507 of the family's 1533-position model. The record is from RNAcentral.
AACGAACGCUGGCGGCAUGCCUAACACAUGCAAGUCGAACGAGACCUUCGGGUCUAGUGGCGCACGGGUGCGUAACGCGUGGGAACCUGCCCUUAGGUUCGGAAUAACUCCCCGAAAGGGGUGCUAAUACCGGAUAAUGUCUUCGGACCAAAGAUUUAUCGCCUUUGGAUGGGCCCGCGUUGGAUUAGCUAGUUGGUAGGGUAAAAGCCUACCAAGGCGACGAUCCAUAGCUGGUCUGAGAGGAUGAUCAGCCACACUGGGACUGAGACACGGCCCAGACUCCUACGGGAGGCAGCAGUGGGGAAUAUUGGACCACGGGCGAAAGCCUGAUCCAGCAAUGCCGCGUGAGUGAUGAAGGCCUUAGGGUUGUAAAGCUCUUUUACCCGGGAUGAUAAUGACAGUACCGGGAGAAUAAGCGCCGGCUAACUCCGUG